UGCCAACGAAGGAUCCUUACUUAUUACUAUUAAUUACUAUAAUGCGAGAAGAAAUGGCCUUGUAGCGAACGUUCAAACCCGCUCGCGACGACGUCGCCUUAUGAGAGGCAGUUUUUUCCUCCUCUCCUAUUUCCCGAACCGCGCAGCGCAGAGAAUUCGGAAAGCGUUUAUUUCUCCUAACUCACCGAUGGCUUCAACAUAUAUUUUUUUCCCGUUCAUUCGAGACAUCAAGUGUACCGGAUUGUUCGAUUUGAGAUGGAACUAGCCAGGUGUCAAAUAUGCAAAUUAAUGCAAAGCACCCAAGUACUUAAAAGUACUAAUUACAAUUUUUCCGUCAAAAUUAAUGGUGGCUUCCACUGUAAUUCAUCUAACGUCGUUUAUGUCGUUCAGUGCGGCAUGUGCCAAGCACAAUACGUAGGUCAGACUAAAACAUCAUUUCGGAUCAGGUUCAACAACCACCGAUCUGACGUUACAAAAAAGCCAAACCUCCCGGCCUCUCGCCAUUUCAAACAACCAGGUCAUUCACGAAAUAAUGUGUCACUUUUUAUUUUCCAGUCAGAUUUUAGCUCAGAUCGGUGCAGGGAACAACGCGAAUCUGAUCUCAUUUACAAAUUCCAUUAACCACUAAUUAGUCUAAUCUGGGAGCACUUUCAACGCAAAGUUUGAAGCAGCGCUCACCCUGCCCCGGAAUUUCCUCAAAGCGGACAGUGACCUACAGCGAAUGACAUCACCCCGACCGAAUGACCAAGCUUGACCGCCGAAUGACUUGAUCUUCUGGAAUCUUCCCCAAUCUGACUCACUGACAAACGCCUGUGGCGUGCCCGUACCGAUUAUGACGUCAUGUACGAAACCUAUUUAGGAGAUCUUGGUUACCCCCUUGAGCCCUGGUUGAUGACUCCAUUCCGGGCUCCCGCACCAGACAAAGAAGUGGCAUAUAAUGCAGCUCUCAGCAGCACUAGGGUUCGAAUCGAGCACUGCUUCGGAAUGCUGAAAAUGCGAUUCCGGUGCCUGCAAAGGUACCACACCCUUUACUUUGCACAAGACAGAGCCUGCAAUAUCAUCACUGCCUGUGCUGUGCUGCACAGUAUGUGCAUUUCAUACAAUUUGUCUGAGCCUGCAGAGGAGCCUGAACCGGCAGCUAGAACAUGACAGUGCCACAGUUACAGUGACUGAGGACGAGCCCAGCGAGGAGGGUGAACCCAUCAGUCAUAAUGACUCCUUGAUAUCACAGGCAAUGCGCGUACGUGAGACAAUUGUCAACAGGUACUUCUAGCAGCCUGUCAAGAAACGUAUAUGCAUCAUCACAUCGGCUCACUGCAGCAAUAGA
Molecule: long non-coding RNA, 1327 nt
Organism: Ornithodoros turicata
Lineage: Eukaryota; Metazoa; Arthropoda; Arachnida; Ixodida; Argasidae
Exons: 3
Source: RefSeq, a predicted model, not a curated record